AUAGAUAUGCAUGUAAUACUAAUUGGUAACUUUAGAAAAAUUAAUACAUACAUUUUGAACCUAUAAAUUCUAAAAUACAAUGAGUUAAAGUGGUAAAAACUUAAUAGCUGAACCAGUCAAAUUAAAAUGUGGAUCCAGCUUACACAGUUGCUGGAAACGGUGUUACAAGUCAACAAAAGUUUGCUUAAUUUACUUAUACAUAAUACACAACAACAAGAAGAAAAAGAAGACAGAGGGGUGUAGCAACUAGCGAACCGAUACAUAUAAUCUUUCUAUUAGCUUUGGCUUUGUUCAGAAAGCAAUGAUGAAAGAACAUAGACAAUGUUUUGCCAUCUUUUUCUUCAUUUAUCUUGUCUUCUGUUCUUCUCAAUUCGCCAUAUCCCAACGUUUAGUGAAUUUCAUUUCUGGUGUUCCCACUUUGUGGAUCAACAGGCCAUCCAUCGGGAGUAAUUUCAGUAGAGGCAUCCUUAAUUAUACACCUAUCCUUCUGGAAGGAAAUGCCGGCCUACGAUUCCUCUAUGGUUUCUCUUGCAAUUUCGAUCACACAAAAUGCUUUCUUGGUAUCUCGUUAGUAUUAUACAACAGCACUGGUGAGACCAUUUAUAUAGAGGGGGGAAAGUUAGUUUGGUCUGCUAAUCGAGACCAUCCAGUGCAAGUCAAUGCAACCUUGCAACUAGGCCGAGAUGGCAACUUGGUCUUGGCUGAUUCUGAUGGCACUCUUGUUUGGUCCACUAACACUACUGGAAAAUCUGUUUCAGGCUUAAACUUGACAGAAACGGGGAAUCUCGUGCUCUUUGAUACGACCAACCGCACAGUUUGGCAGUCUUUUGAUCAUCCUACAGAUUGUUUGCUCCCCGGGAAGAAUUUGGUUUCUGGUCAGAACCUAACAGCAAACUGUUGGUGUUUUUUUAAAAAUGGGGCAGCACAAACAGAUUGAAAAUGUCUCUCAAUAGAUUGAAAUGACUUUCAAUAGCUUUCAAUGAAUUUAUUAAGCAUUGAGGGGCUUUAAAUAGCCAACAUAAAACACAUAUUCUGCAUAAUUUAAAAUUUAAACACCCUAAAAUAUCUCAACAACAUAAACAAACUAACUAAAAUUCAAAAUUCAAAUUUAUUCAAACUAAAUAACUUAUUUUGCUAAAAGUUACUGCAGUAACUAAAAGCAAACUUCAACAAAGCAUUUCAGCAGACAAUUCGAGUCAAGGUUUAUUUUCUCUUACUGUUCUCAAUGGAAGCUGGGCCACAUACAUAGAUUCUGAUCCACCUCAGUAUUACUACACUUCAGAAAAUCCCAAUAGUCCUUAUUGGAGUUUUGAUGGUCAUACCCUUACUGCUUUACAAUAUCCUCCUACAUCGAUAGCUCAAUACAUACAGCUUGGGCAUGAUGGACAUUUACGCGUAUACCAAUUGGACAACCUUGAACAGAAUUUGGUUUCUGGUCAGAAGCUGACAGCAAGCGUUUCAGCAGACAAUUCGAGUCAAGGUUUAUUUUCUCUUACUGUUCUCAAUGGAAGCUGGGCCACAUACAUAGAUUCUGAUCCACCUCAGUAUUACUACACUUCAGAAAAUCCCAAUAGUCCUUAUUGGAGUUUUGAUGGUCAUACCCUUACUGCUUUACAAUAUCCUCCUACAUCGAUAGCUCAAUACAUACAGCUUGGGCAUGAUGGACAUUUACGCGUAUACCAAUUGGACAACCUUGAAAAAAAUAUGCUCGGCCUUAAUUGGAAAGAGGUAGGUGACAUUUUGACACUCUCUGACUGUAGGUACCCAAUGGUGUGUGGGAGAUACAGCAUUUGUGUAGAUGGAGGACAAUGUACUUGUCCAGUUGAAGUUAACUUCUUCAAGCCAUUUUCUGAGAGGAUGCCUAAUCUCGGAUGCACUGAGCUGACGCCCAUUUCUUGUGACUCUUUGCAGUAUCAUAGUCUUGUAGAGCUAAAGAAUACUGACUAUUUUUCAUUUCGGUUCAAUGAUGAACUAAACUCGAGCGUAUUUUGGCUUAAAGGGAAAAAGAUUGAAGAUUGCCAAAGGGCAUGUCUGAGUAACUGUUCUUGCAAAGCUGCUGUUUAUGAUCCGUAUCUGAAUGUGAGUCUACUACGAGGGAACUGUUUGUUACUGAAUGAAGUCUUCUCUCUCAUAGACAGUGCAGUAGGAAGCGGCACGACAGUUUUUCUUAAGGUGCAGAAUUCCUCAAAUGCACCAGUCAUUUCCCCUAGACAGAAAUUGCCUUUCAAAGUUAUCAUAGGAUGUACUUUGAUUGGGAUAAUUUUGAUUCUUUCAGUUUGUUCUGCUCUUUCCAAAAAGAGAUCGGAGAAACGCAAAGCUGGUGAUUUUCUGGAUCUAGAACCAAUCUUACCGGGAAUCCUAAUUCGAUUCUCUUACAAUGAGCUGAAAAUAAUUACACAAGAUUUCAGCAUAAAGCUCGGGAAAGGAGGAUUUGGCUCUGUAUAUGAAGGAACACUGAGAAAUGGCACCAAAAUAGCUGUGAAGCAUCUGGAUGGAGUAGGUCAAGUAAAGGAAUCAUUCUUAACAGAAGUAAAGACAGUCGGUGGCAUUCACCAUAUCAAUCUGGUAAAACUCCUUGGAUAUUGUGCCGAAAAAAGCCACAGGCUUCUAAUCUAUGAGUACAUGGUGAAUGGAUCGUUGGAUAGGUGGAUCACGCAAGAAAAUGGGCUUACAUGGAACACAAGGCAGAGGAUAAUAUCAGAUAUUGCGAAAGGAUUAGCUUAUCUACAUGAGGAUUGCAGCCAUAAGAUAAUUCAUUUGGACAUUAAACCACAAAACAUCCUUAUAGAUCAAAAUUUCAAUGCUAAGAUAUCUGAUUUUGGUCUGUCGAAGCUAAUUGAGAAAGACAAAAGCAAAGUUGUGACUAGAAUGAGAGGAACGCCGGGGUAUAUAGCCCCUGAAUGGUUGAGCUCAAUAAUCACUGAAAAAGUUGAUGUGUAUGCUUUUGGAAUUGUGCUCUUGGAAACUCUCUGUGGACGAAAGAAUUUGGACUGGUCCCAAACUGAUGAAGAAGAUGUCCAUUUGCUAACUGUUUUUACGAGAAAAGCAGAACAAGAGCAGCUCACAGAUAUGGUUGACAGAAACGAGGAUAUGCAGCUCCACAGAGAAGCAGUGACAGAAAUGAUGAGCCUUGCUGCGUGGUGUCUACAGGGCGAUUUCUCCAAGAGGCCUUCCAUGUCAUUGGUGGUUAAGGCACUCGAAGGUUUGGUGACUGUUGAAACCAACUUAGAUUAUAAUUUCAGAAAUGUACCUAAGGUUGGGGCAGGCAACCAACCGAGGGAAGCCGCUAUCAGCUCAAAAUUGCCAUCAGUUUUAUCGGGACCGAGGUAAACAGUAUGUCUAAUUCUAGCACAAAUUCUUACGGUGUAUUAGAUUACAAUUCAUGAAUGUAAUAUUCAGUAACUUUGCAUUAGAUUUUUUGAGUUUCAUGUAAUUAUCAUGUAGAAGCUCCUCAAUUCAUAUGUGACAGGAGAUAUAAUAUUGCAUUAGCUUUUCCUCAUUUUUUGUAAGGGAAGUAUCAAGACUCGAGAACAGCAUGAAUCGGAUAUCGAGGGCCAGAUGCUCUGCCAAUUACAGAAACAAAAAAUUAUCUUAAACAUGAUUGUAUGGUAUUCAUACUGUUAAAAUAAAUUCAGUUUAAAUUGGGAAAAGACUCAAAUAUGUCACGGAACUAUUAAAAAUGUGCCAUAUAUUAAAAGCUGGCUCAUCUAUACAAAAAUACAUCUAGUUCAGCAAAACCAUUUUUGCCGCGUGCCCUCUUAUUAGAGGUUCACGUCAAGUAAUUAAAAAGACUCAAUAUUUAAUUAACACUCGACCUAUUUAAAUAAAACCCGACCCAUCUCCUAACCCAUUUCCCUUUAUCCAACCCACAUUAUGUACUUGCAAACAUUAAAAUCAUCAAAUUCCAAUAUUGAAAGUUAUAACUUGGAAAUGGUCAAAAUGGUCCCGUCAGUGGAAAGAUAGAGCCCAACCCCAUUAUUUUCCUAAAAAGUAUUUUCCUUCGUACCGACCACACAAACACACUCAUAGUCAAUUAAGUUUGGAAAAAAAUAGCACAUUGAAAAAGUUUUUUGAGGUCCCUCUGUAUAUUGACUGGGCAAAGAUUAAGAUAUUUUGUACAUUGGAACAUCAAUUUUGACUUGGACUUUGGAAUUUAGGGCACAUCCCAUUCAGUACAAGACUUGACAUGAAUCUUAAUGAGGAGGAAAGUGCUUAACAAUUCCAAAUUAAUUGUUAGUAACAAUUUGUAACAUUACUUGGAAUUAUAUGGAAUGUUGUAGACAUUCUGAAAUUGCACUUGUCUCGAGAUAUGACGAGGCACAAACACUGUCUUGCCAAUAUUAGUUAUUGGUAUUCUUGAAUUAUUUUCCAUCACCAUUACUCGAUCGCCUUUAUAUUUGUAAUUUGCUUAUGUUCAUCAAAUUUUUCUCGUCACUGGUCAUGUGAUUGGAACAUCCUGAAUCAACUACCUAUCAUUUUAAUAAUCACCAAGCUUUCGUUAUUUGAUCAGGCGCCCCUCCCUGUAUAUUUAGCGGUACUGCUCCACUACUUGCCGUACAGUUAGUGAAACAGGGCAGAAAAUGCUGAAAGAUGUGAUAAGUUUUUUUUUUUUUUUGAAUGGUGAGGGUCGGGUAUGGAGUGAGGUAAGGAAAAAAAUAUAAUUGGAGGAAAAUAAGUUUAUUUGAAAAGCAUUUUCCAAAAUAUUUAAAUCAAUCAUGAGAAAAUUAAAAAACAUUUUCUAGAAUGAGAGAUAAAAUGAGAAAAGUAAAAGAGAAAGUAAAGAUAUUUAAAAAAAAAGAAAAAAGAAAAGUCAAAGAUGAUUUUAUUUUUGGAGGAAAAUUUAGAUGGUUUUAUAGCGAGUCCGGAACCUAAAUAAGCCAAAAAAAAUAAAAGUGACCAAAAUAAGUCAUUAUUCUAGUAAGUAACUAAAAUAGGCUUAGUGGAAGAAAUUUUUUUGUUUUAUGCAAUAUUCCAAACGUUUUCUGUUAGUCUCAUAACGUGUAUAUUUUAAUAUAUAACAGAGCUGUUUCUUACACUUUGUAAAGUGUAUUUUUUUCUUACACUUUGUAAAGUGGAAGUUUUUCGUACACUUAAGUUGAGAUUGAUAGCUCAGCUUUAUUCUUAGAUUUUGUAUUUUUGCAUUACUUAAGCAUCCUCAUUUGUAGUAUCAGCAUAGAGUGUAUCAUAAACUCUAUGACGAUCACAGAAUAUCUAGUUUUCUCUAGCUCUUAUUUUCUUCAUGCUUGUUAAUUAGUAGAGGUUCGUUACCUCAUUAAGAUUAGUAAGGUAAGGCCUAGCCUCCCUUUCUUGUACUUUUCUCUUUAUUAAUAAAACUAGACCUAGGCACACAUUGCCUAGCGGAAUUGUUUUUUUAAAAAAAAACGUUUUUCUUACACUUUAUAAAGUGGAAGAAAGAAUUUUGUUUUACAAAGAGGAAUAUUUUUCACGUUUUGUAUUAAAUUGUAUCUCUUUAUGAAGCUUUUGAGUGUUUGUGAUACAAUUAUAUUGAUUUGACAUAUCAUUAAAACGGAAAAAAUUAUUACAUUAUGCAUUUUUAUUUUUUAUUCUGAAAGUUCUUCCAAGCUCUAUUUAAGGAAAAAACUAUUACAUUAUGUAUCAUAAGUGUUAACUUGAUUUGAUCUAUGUAGUCAUUUGGAAGUUGGAACCCUCAAAAAAUCGGUCAACGAUUCGUUACUAUAGAUAAUCCACUCUCCAAAAUUUACUUGUACUUGUGACAAAAAUGAAGUAGAGUAUUUUUCGACUAUAAUCAAAUUAUAAUCAGUACUAUUUAUACCCAUUUUUUUUAUAAAUUGAUGAAAGAAAUUUAUGAUAUCGGACAUUAAUUAAAUAUUUAACAUUAUGUUUGGGAAGACAAUUAUAAUAAACGGUAUUUUCGUCAUGUAUAAUUUCGCCAUCCCAAUAAAUCGAAACUGUUACUUUUGACUUAGAAGACAUUUUUUUUGUGAAUGAAAUGAAGAAAAAUAGAAGACUAAAGAUGUUGAAAGUGCUAUGUUUGAACGUCCUUAAAUAGAGCUUGAGGAGUUCUCAGAAUAAAAAUAUAAGUAUACAUAAUGUAAUAUUCCUCUUUGUAAAACAAAAAUUUUUCUUCCACUUUAUGAAGUGUGAGAAAAACUUCCACUUUACAAAGUGUAAGAAAAACUUCCGUUAUAUAUUAAAAUAUACACGUUAUGAGACUAACGGAAAACGUUUGAAAUAUUACAUAAAACAGAAUUUUUUCUUGCACUAAGCCUGUUUUAUUUACUUACUAGAAUAGUGGCUUAUUUUGAUCACUUUUAUUUUUUUGUGGCUUAUUUAGGUUCCGGACUCUUUUAUAGCCAAUAGGAUAUUGUGGUCUUUUAUCCUCUGUCGUGCCACAAAAAAGCAUCGUGCCAUUUAGUUUUACCGUAUUUUGUACGGUUGAACAAUAACUAAUAGCCAGUCCCAUUCAGAAGAAGACUUGACUUGAACCUGAUUGAGGAGGAAAGUUUUUUUCCCGAUAAAAAGGUGACAUGACUUGCUAUUCAAUUGUUAGCAACAAUUUGUAACAUUGCUGUUAAAAUUAUAAAAUGAAAGACAUUGACAUGUAAACGUUACAUGAUUAUCUGCUUACGGAUUGUUGCACAUGCGAACAUUUGAGCGAAUGAAAGGAGUGUUACAGGAACAGACGUUAGGAAAGUAAUAACACUGGGAAACAACUGAAUUUAGUAUUUUUAACAUGAAAAAUAGAUUAGUAUGUAAAACAAAUUGGUAACUUUUAAAACAAUAAUACAUACAUUUUGAACUUGUAAUUUUUAAAAUAUAAUGAUCGUUAAGUGGUAAAAUCUUAAUAGCUUAACCAGUCAAAUUAAAAUGUGGAUCCAGUUUACAAAGUUGCUGGAAAGGGUGUUACAAGUCAACAAAAGUUUGCUUUAUUUACUUACAGAUAUAAGUGUCAACAACACACCUAAACUGUACUUUUUUUUUAGUUUUAUAUCUAAAUUAUUGAGAGUGUAACUAUCACUUAUUAGUUUGAAAAAUACACAUCUCUCUUUUAUAACACUCUCAUCAUGUGUGUGUGAUACACUCUCUAUUUUACUUAAAAAAAUUGUCACAUCAUACUUCACAUGGACAAAACAUCUCAUCUUGGCAAAAAUUAAAUAAAUUAAGUAUUAGUUAAAAUUAAAGAUUAAAAAAUUAUUUUCCCAAAAAAUUAAUUUGUUUAUAAAAUAAAAUGUAAAUUUUUUUUUUACCCCACUCCAUCAAUUCCUCUCACCGUACCCUCCCCCUCCCCCCUCAUUUUUUAAGUUUAAAUUUCUUUUAUAAAAGUAUAUAAACUUUUUUUACUUCAUCUCCCCCCUCCCCCUCUACAAAUACUAAUUUAGCUAUCAUUUUAUUUUUUAAAAAUAAAAAUUCUACCCACUCCACCUAACCGUCCGCUUCCAAUUUUUUUCUCGUUUUGUGUUAGAUAUAUAUAUAUCAAAAAUAUGUUUUACUUGCUGCGGCAAGACUACUUUUAAAAUAAAUUUUUUAUUUAUGUUAUAUUCGGUAUGAAAAAAUUCCUAAAAAUAUAUGUACAUAUCAAACACAUAACGAGAAAAAUGUAAAAAUAAAUAAAUAAAUUAGUAAAUAGGAUGGAGUAGAAUUUUUAUUUUUUAAAAAUAAAAUAAUAUCAAUUUUUUUUGGGGGGAGGGGUGGGGGGAUGGCUGUGGUUUUCUUUUUUUGGGAGGGUGAAGUAUGAAUUUUUAUAAAUAUAUUAUAAAAGAUUAUUUAAAAAAUAAUAAUAAGAUUAUGGGGUGGAGGGGGGUGGAGGAGGGUGUACGGGGAGGAGGUAGUGAAGUGGAGUAAGAAAAAUAAUUUAAAUUUUAUUUUAAAAAAAACAUUUUUUUGGGGGAUAGUAAUACUUAAAUCUUUAAUUUUUUAUUAAUAUUAAUAGUUUAUUAUUUAAUUUUUGUCAAGGUGGAAUAUUUUAUCCAUGAGGAAUGUCACGUGUCAAGGUUUUUUUAAAAUAAAAUAGAGAGUGCAUUCUCAAAGUAAUAAGUGAUAGUUUAGAUAUGAAACUAAUUUUUUUUUAACUUAAGUGUGUUUUUGACACUUAUCUAUUACUUAUAGAAGUGGCAAAAUAGGUAUUUAAUACGAGUAUCCACUCAUAUUUACCCAUUUUAAAUGGGUUGGGUAUCCAACUCAUUUAAAAUAGGAAAAAUUAUAGAAAUCCCGCCUUUUAGUUUACUUAUAACCAUUAUCCCCAUAAUUUUUACAAAUCUCCAAAAUCCCUCAUUUUCGCGCAUCAGAUUAGUGUAUCUCGCGCAUCAGAUUAGUGUAUCAUGUAUAAAAUGUAAUGUAUCUUACUUAACGAUUAAUGUAUCUCGCGCAUCAGAUUAAUGUAUCAACGCUUAUAUUAUUGUAUUCGUUUGAGGGGUUUCUGUAAUUAUAAACUUUUAAGGGAUAGAUUGUAAUUUUGCCUUAAAAGUAUGUGAUUUAUGUAAUUUGCUCUUUAAAAAUGGGUAAAAACGAGUAAUACUCAAAUACCCAUUUAAAAGUGGGUAGUUAAAUGGGUAAUAUGGGUAAAAAAUGUUCAUUCAUAAAAAAAAAAAAGAAAAGUAAUUAGAGGUGGGUGGUAAAAAAAGCUUUUUAUUUUUUUUUAGAUAGNNNNNNNGGGGUUAGGGGGUGGGUGGGUUGGCGGGGGGAAGGGGGAGUCGGAGUAGUAAAAAAAUAAUAAUUUUUGAGGCGUUGGAGUUGGGGGUAGGGAUGGGGGUGGGCAGGUUAAAUUUAAAAGUUCUAAGUAUUUUUUUCGUGGGGUGUGGGGUGUGGGUUGAAGAGUAUAUUUUGCUUUUGAAGCUUUUAACAUGAUCCCUAUAAUAAUAUGGGUAAAUAUGGAUACUCAUAUUACCCAUUGAGGAACUCGUUUUUAUCCAUCUAAAAUAUGAGUUGAGUAGAGUAUUUUACCCAUUUUUAUUAACUCAUUUUCGAUCAACUCAUAUUCGACUCAACUUGCUAGUUUGCCACUCCUACUUAUACAUAAUACGAACAAGAAGAAGACUGAGGGAGUAGUAACAAGCAAACCGAUACAUAUAAUCUUUCUAUUAGCUUUGGCUUUGUUGAGAAAGCAAUGAUGGAAGAACAUAGACAAUAUUUUCGUAUCCUUUUCUUCAUUUAUCUUCUCUUCUGUUCUUCUCAAUUCGCUAUAUCCCAACGUUUAGUGAAUUUCAUUUCCGGUGUUCCCACUUUGUGGAUCAACAAACUUACUUAUACACCCAUCCUUCUGGAACGAAAUACUGGCCUACAAUUCCUCUACGGCUUCUCUUGCAAUUUCUAUCCGACAGAAUGCUUUCUUGGUAUCUCAUUAGUAGUUUACAACAGCACCGCUGGUGAGACCAUUUAUAUAGAGGGAGGACACUUAGUUUGGUCUGCUAAUCGAGACCGUCCAGAGAAAGCCAAUGCAACCUUGCAACUAGGCCAAGAUGGCAACUUGGUGUUCGCAGACUCUGAUAGCACUCUUGUUUGGUCCAGUAAUACCACUGGAAAAUCUGUUUCUGGCUUUAACUUGACAGAAACGGGGAAUCUCAUGCUCUUUGAUACGACCAACCGCACAGUUUGGCAGUCUUUUGAUCAUCCUACAGAUUGUUUGCUCCCCGGGAAGAAUUUGGUUUCUG
RNAcentral lists this long non-coding RNA (9629 nucleotides) under Solanum tuberosum (potato). RNAcentral describes it as "long non-coding RNA (STUB_LNC007690)". The record is from RNAcentral. Lineage: Eukaryota; Viridiplantae; Streptophyta; Magnoliopsida; Solanales; Solanaceae.